CGGCUUAUAGUACAACGGAUAGUGCAGUCGCCUUCUAAGCGACGAAUGUGAGUUCGAUUCCUGCUAGGCCGACCA
Molecule: transfer RNA, 75 nt
Filed under: Candidatus Sericytochromatia bacterium
Lineage: Bacteria; Bacillati; Candidatus Sericytochromatia
Description: tRNA-Arg
Rfam family: tRNA
About the family: Transfer RNA (tRNA) molecules are approximately 80 nucleotides in length. Their secondary structure includes four short double-helical elements and three loops (D, anti-codon, and T loops). Further hydrogen bonds mediate the characteristic L-shaped molecular structure. tRNAs have two regions of fundamental functional importance: the anti-codon, which is responsible for specific mRNA codon recognition, and the 3' end, to which the tRNAs corresponding amino acid is attached (by aminoacyl-tRNA synthetases). tRNAs cope with the degeneracy of the genetic code in two manners: having more than one tRNA (with a specific anti-codon) for a particular amino acid; and 'wobble' base-pairing, i.e. permitting non-standard base-pairing at the 3rd anti-codon position.
Source: RNAcentral